Molecule: long non-coding RNA, 2829 nt
Filed under: Homo sapiens (human)
Lineage: Eukaryota; Metazoa; Chordata; Mammalia; Primates; Hominidae
Description: non-protein coding lnc-BMP15-1:2
Source: RNAcentral
CUCUUCUUGUGUGGAACCUAGGAUUCGAGCUGUGGGCAGAAAGUGCUCUAGCAGGGACUCUGGCUUUGAAAGAGUCCCUUUUUCCUCCUUUUCUUCCUUUACACCCAAUAAAACCUGUCUUACCCUUCAAACUGUCUGCACGCCUGAAUUUUUAUGGCUGUGGGACAAAGGACCUCAUCUUUAGCUGAACUAAGGAAAAAGUCCUGCAACAUUUUUGGCGUGCAACGUAGGGACUUGAGAAGCGGUCAUCAAACUCCAAGUGGCCAUGCAACCAGAGCCUCUGAUGAUGGCCCCUUCUGCUGGGAACCUUACACAGGCCUCUGAGGGAGCUUUAACUGCCGUUUCCCCAAAACAGCACCCCUGUCAGCAGGAAGCAGUUAAGAUCGGUCUUCAUACUUAUCCUUAUUCUAAGGGCAGUUGGAUGUGCUUCUUUAGAGGGGCGAAUGAGGCAGCCAAGUGGGAGGGGGUCCCUGGAAAAACUCCAACCAGCCUGCACACUGGGGUGGAGCCUUGGGAAGUUCAUGCCAUUUGCAACAGGGAGGUGCCUGACUCCUUCUCUCUGUGUGGAACCUGGGAUUCAAGUUGCGAGCGGGAAGCGCUCUAGCAGGGACUCUGGCCUUGUGAGAGUCCCUGUUUCCCCCCUUUCUUUCUUUACAUCCAAUAAAACCCUGUCUUACCAUUCAAAUCUGAAUUUUUGUGGCCGUGGACAGAGGACCCCAUCUUUAGCUGAAAUAAGGAAAAGUCCUGCAACAACAUCAAAUACAAUAAUUAAGGCAAAGUGGAUCAAAGGCUUCGUGUAAUAGCUAAAACCAUAAAACUGUUAGACGGAAACAGGGGUAAAUCCCCGUGGCCUUAGAUUUGGCAAUAGUUUCUUACAAGUGAUACCAAAAGCACAAGCAACAAAAGAAAAACAGAUAAAUUGAACUUUAUCAAAAUUGUGAGUUUUUGUUCUUUAAAGGACACUAUCAAGAAAGUGAAAAUACAACCCACACAAUGGAAGAAGAGGUUUAUAAAGUAUACACUGGGUAAUGGCCUAGCACCCAGAAUCUAUAAAGUACCCACAACUCAAUAACAAAAGGACAAAAAUCGGAAAAGGGUCAAAGUCAACAUUUCUCAAAAGAAGAUGCACAAAUGGCCAACAGGCACAAGAAAAGAUUCUCAAUGUUUUAGUCAUUAGGAAAUACAAAUCAAAACCACAAUGAGAUACAACUUUACGUAUACUACAAUGCCUAUAAUCAAAAAGAUCAUAAGAAGCACUGGCGAGCCCGUAGAGACAUUUGAACCCUAAAACACUGCUGGCAGGAAUAUAAAAUGGUGCAGUCACUUUGGAAAACAGUCCAGCAGUUUCUCAAAGAGUUAAAUCUAGAAUUAUCAUAUGGCUUAGCAAUUCCUAGGUAUAUACCUAAGAAAAAUGAAAGCAUAUGUCUUCACAAAAACUUGUACUCAAAUGUUUAUAGCAGUAUUACUCAUAGUAUCUAAAAGUAGAAACAACCCAAAUGUUCAACGUAAUGAAUGGAUAAAUAAAAUAUGGUAUAACCAUACAAUCAAAUAUCAUUUGGCUGUAAAAAGGAAUGAAGUACUGAGGCAUAGUACAAGAUGGAUGAACCUUAAAAUUACUAUGUUUCACGAAAGAAGCCAGUCACAGAAAAUCACAUAUAUGGUGCCUUUCAUGUGAAGUGUCAAGAAUAAGCCAAUCUACAGUCAGAAAAUAGAUUAGUAGUCACUGCUAGUGGCUGGAGGGCAGGGGGAAUGGAGAGUGACUGCUAAUGGGUAUGAGCUUUCUUUAUGGGGCGAUGAAAAUGUUACAAAAUUGGUGGUGCUGAUGAUUGUAAAACUCUGUAAAUAUACUAAAAAACAUAGAAUCAUAGACUAUAAAUGAAUAAAUUGUUUGGUAUGUGAAUCAUAUAUCAAAGCACAUGUUCUGAUCAAAGUGGAAAACAAUGAAAUAAAAAGUUCCCUGGAGCAGAGUUCUGGAGCGGUGGGAGUUAAACAGGUAAAUGUAAUUCAUAUAAGUCUAAAUUCCGGAAACCAGGACUGUGUCUUUUACAUUGCUGCAGUGCACAUGUUUAACAAAGUUCUGUAUGUAGCCAAUGUUAAAGACAAUCACAGUAAAAAAUGAAGAAAAGCUCUUGGAACCAAACCGUCCAUCAAUUUGCAACUAUGUAGAAGAGAAGAUGUUAUGAAAUCAUGGAAGUCUCCAAGAGCCUUGACCUGUAAGAAGCUUGUAAAAUUGAAUUGUGCAGGUGCCUUGAGACUUGGUCAGAAACUUGCUCAUUCCAGAGAUUCCCUGGGGUUCAGAUAGCUGACAACUACGCCUGGAGAAGUUAGACCUGUUCUAAAUACCCUAGAGAUUCUAGCACUCUUAAAACCAUCUCCAGGCUCAGAAUCUAACUAGAGAAUUGCUGAACUAACUUGCUUUCCUUGAGGAGCUUCGGACUACUUAGAAGGGAAUCAGGCUUGGGGUCAGUUUUUGAGACUAAAAGUCCUGAAAUCUGUCUCUCCUGGAAACGCUAAGGGACAUUUUUUAGUAAUUUUUCUUCCAGUAAAAUCCCAAAGUCUAAUUUGAGUCCAAAUCUUUGGGGUUCAUCCAGAAGCAAAUGGCUGCUAGGAACAUAGACUGUUUGACUCCAGAGUGAGUAAAUGUUAGAUAGAUUAAAUCUUUACUUUAUCUGGCUUUAGAUUUGGUCUUGUAUGAAACUGACAAUAAAAUAAGAAACAUGGUUUAAACCAUACAAAUAUCUGUCAAGAAGCUAGUGUGUCUCAAAUCACUUUCACAAGGGUUAAAGAUAAACCUGUAGCCAUCUGAUUUCUUUGCCAGUAGGAAUGGGG